CAGAAAGUAGUUUAAUGUAAGGAUACCAGCUUUGGGAGUUGGAGGUGGAGAUUUGAGCUCUCCCUUUCUGA
Molecule: transfer RNA, 71 nt
Filed under: Gorsachius magnificus
Lineage: Eukaryota; Metazoa; Chordata; Aves; Pelecaniformes; Ardeidae
Description: tRNA-Pro
Rfam family: tRNA
About the family: Transfer RNA (tRNA) molecules are approximately 80 nucleotides in length. Their secondary structure includes four short double-helical elements and three loops (D, anti-codon, and T loops).
Source: RNAcentral